This 253-nucleotide ribosomal RNA is filed under the name uncultured bacterium. Its description in RNAcentral is "partial 16S ribosomal RNA". It matches the Rfam family "Bacterial small subunit ribosomal RNA", at positions 524 to 776 of the family's 1533-position model. The record is from RNAcentral.
UACGUAGGGGGCAAGCGUUGUCCGGAUUUAUUGGGCGUAAAGAGCGUGUAGGCGGCCAGGUAGGUCUGCUGUGAAAACUCGAGGCUCAACCUCGAGACGCCGGCGGAAACCAUCUGGCUAGAGUCCGGAAGAGGAGAGUGGAAUUCCUGGUGUAGCGGUGAAAUGCGCAGAUAUCAGGAAGAACACCAGUGGCGAAGGCGGCUCUCUGGGACGGUACUGACGCUGAGACGCGAAAGCGUGGGGAGCGAACAGG